AUAACAACAAAAAUGCAGACUCUGUUUCUGAUCACCUGCCUUCUUGAAAUAACACUCCAAGCACCUACCACCCAACAGACCAGGGGCCAUGAACCAGCCAGUAUAGAGAUCUUUCUUCCUCAUGGAUACCAUGCCUCAGACAUCAGAAGGCUACUGCCUACAGCAGCGCAUGGCAAUCCAGUAGCAGGUGGACAAAUUGGCUUUCCAGGAUAUGCCAGCAUAGAAUAUCUGGUGCCUGUUGGAGACCCUGCCCAACAUUCUGGGAUUCCUGCUCAUCUUCAUCAUAUGUUUCCCCCCCAAGCAUAUGUCAAACAGAAGCACCUGCAUCCCUCUCACAGAGUCAGCCAAGAGACU
This is a long non-coding RNA of Anguilla anguilla (European eel), 354 nucleotides long. RefSeq lists it as uncharacterized. Lineage: Eukaryota; Metazoa; Chordata; Actinopteri; Anguilliformes; Anguillidae. The record is from RefSeq and is a predicted model, not a curated record. The transcript has 6 exons.